GGGAAUAUGGCUUAGUGGUAGAGUGCUUGCCUAGCAUGCAUGAAGCCCUGAGUUCAAUUCCUCAGUACCA
Molecule: transfer RNA, 70 nt
Filed under: Dipodomys ordii (Ord's kangaroo rat)
Lineage: Eukaryota; Metazoa; Chordata; Mammalia; Rodentia; Heteromyidae
Rfam family: tRNA
About the family: Transfer RNA (tRNA) molecules are approximately 80 nucleotides in length. Their secondary structure includes four short double-helical elements and three loops (D, anti-codon, and T loops). Further hydrogen bonds mediate the characteristic L-shaped molecular structure. tRNAs have two regions of fundamental functional importance: the anti-codon, which is responsible for specific mRNA codon recognition, and the 3' end, to which the tRNAs corresponding amino acid is attached (by aminoacyl-tRNA synthetases). tRNAs cope with the degeneracy of the genetic code in two manners: having more than one tRNA (with a specific anti-codon) for a particular amino acid; and 'wobble' base-pairing, i.e. permitting non-standard base-pairing at the 3rd anti-codon position.
Source: Rfam by way of RNAcentral